RNAcentral lists this ribosomal RNA (256 nucleotides) under uncultured bacterium. RNAcentral describes it as "partial small subunit ribosomal RNA". It matches the Rfam family "Bacterial small subunit ribosomal RNA", at positions 26 to 286 of the family's 1533-position model. The record is from RNAcentral.
AGGACGAACGCUGGCGGCGUGCUUAACACAUGCAAGUCGAGCGGAAAGGCCCUUCGGGGUACUCGAGCGGCGAACGGGUGAGUAACACGUGAGCAACCUGCCCCUGGCUCUGGGAUAGCCUCCGGAAACGGGGAUUAAUACCGGACAUUCACUUCCUUCCGCAUGGUUGGUGGUGGAAAGUUUUUCGGCCGGGGAGGGGCUCGCGGUCUAUCAGCUUGUUGGCGGGGUAACGACCCACCAAGGCGACGACGGAUAG